AGGACGAACGCUGGCGGCGUGCUUAACACAUGCAAGUCGAGCGGAAAGGCCCUUCGGGGUACUCGAGCGGCGAACGGGUGAGUAACACGUGAGCAACCUGCCCUUAGCUUCGGGAUAGCUCCGGGAAACCGGAUUAAUACCGGAUAUGACUAUGGCCGACAUCAGCCAUGGUGGAAAGUUUUUCGGCUAGGGAUGGACUCGCGGCCUAUCAGCUAGUUGGUGAGGUAACGGCUCACCAAGGCGACGACGGGUA
RNAcentral lists this ribosomal RNA (253 nucleotides) under uncultured bacterium. Its description in RNAcentral is "partial small subunit ribosomal RNA". It matches the Rfam family "Bacterial small subunit ribosomal RNA", at positions 26 to 285 of the family's 1533-position model. The record is from RNAcentral.